Long non-coding RNA from Anolis sagrei ordinatus, 379 nucleotides. RefSeq lists it as uncharacterized. Lineage: Eukaryota; Metazoa; Chordata; Lepidosauria; Squamata; Anolidae. The record is from RefSeq and is a predicted model, not a curated record.
UGAAUCUUUUAGAAUAUGUGAAACUAAAUUGGAAGAGGAUUGUUCUCAGUCUCCUGGUGAGAUUUUAGGCAAUGGUACAGAAUUGCCUACAUAAAGGGAGAUGGGCAGGCAGAGCCAUCAUACUUAAGGCUGCAUGAGACCUAUCACUGUGCAAAGAGCUGCUAAGAAAGCAAGGUCCUGGCGAGACCCUCUCUGGAGGAGAAGCCUAGGGUAUUGGGAAACCCUGAGGAACUGGACAGAAGAAAGGGAUCUUUGAAAAUUGCACGCUUCUUUCAAGAUUCCCUCCUAGCAGCAGGAGCAUGGCUAAAGUAUUUCUUGAUUCCUCUGAGAAUGAACUCAUUGAAGAAAUGUGUUCUCAAUUCUGAGGAUGGCAGCUGCU